UACGUAGGGUGCAAGCGUUGUCCGGAAUUAUUGGGCGUAAAGGGCUCGUAGGCGGUUUGUCGCGUCGGGAGUGAAAACACGGGGCUUAACCCCGUGCCUGCUUCCGAUACGGGCAGACUAGAGGUAUGCAGAGGAGAUUGGAAUUCCCGGUGUAGCGGUGAAAUGUGUAGAGAUCGGGAGGAACACCGGUGGCGAAGGCGGGUCUCUGGGCAUCUCCUGACGCUGAGGCGCGAAAGCGUGGGGAGCAAACGGG
RNAcentral lists this ribosomal RNA (253 nucleotides) under uncultured bacterium. RNAcentral describes it as "partial 16S ribosomal RNA". It matches the Rfam family "Bacterial small subunit ribosomal RNA", at positions 524 to 776 of the family's 1533-position model. The record is from RNAcentral.